GCAUGCCGAGGCCAAAAACAAACAAACAAAAACACAGAACACCCUGAUUUUCCCUUUCUGAGAAUCCUUUUCUCAGAAGGUCCUGGGGACUGUAGGCCAGGAUCCUCCCACUCCUGGGCACUCCCCUCCCACCCCUGCCGGUUAUGUGCACCUGUACCAGGUUUAUUUCUAGGGAGGAGGCUGAUGAGGAGGGCCUCUGCAAAGGGAGGGGCCCAGGGACCCACCAGAGAUGGGAAUCAGAUAAUAGAUUAACCAGAUAGAGUUGGCAGAAAAGAGAUUUGUGGGGCCCAGCUGGUUAUCAUUCUGUUGCUGCUCAUCCUGGUCCUGAAGAAUCCCCAGGUGACUGAUGGGCUCACUCGGUAACUCCCGUGCUGAGCAGUUCCUCCUCGACCCCAGCGCAGCCAAAUGUGCCUGGGAAAGAAAAGACUAGAGGAUUGUGGGCCCUCAUUGGUUGCCCCUGGACUAUUUUUGAUUAAGUGCACAGGCAGUGCAGGCAGCUGCUGCUGCUCCGAGAGCCAGCACAGUUCUCCAGAAAGGGGCCGUCUGGGAGGGGAGGGCAUUUUCAGGGGGGUGUGUCUGCCUGAAAUGGGACAGGCCUCUGCAACAUCCCAGUCGUGGGAAGAGGGACUGCUGGGCUCCUGACCAAUGACGAGCCCUACUGCCUGGCUCUUUCCUCCCAUGAUGAUCGCUGCCUUCUGCGUUGCAAUCCUGCCCUCUGAUUAUCGCAGUGCAUCGCCCGUUUGGUUUUUCUCAGUUUAACUCCCACACUCAUUUUGUGCAUGAAUGAGUACAAUGAAACCAGUUUAAUUUGCUGUUAAUUCUCUGUUCAAAAUAUUCUCUUCUGUUUAAGGGACACAGUCCCCCUUUCAUCUUGCUGAGGCAGUUUGUGAAGGAAGGCAGCUUCAGGCGAGGGGAGGGGAAGGAGGGGGCUUCAGGAAAAGGGUGAGCUCCAGGGGUGGAACAUCCCCCCAGAGCCUAUGGGGAGGAGGGCCCACAGUUGUUGGGCCUUUACACUUGCUGAGUUAGGGGUCUGUUUGGACUCUCUUUGUGGGGGAAAGGUCAUGUCUGGAGACUUUCCUCCAGAUGGAGGGGCUAUGGCAGAGAGGUUUGAGAGUGCAAACCCAAGCUAGCCUCUGUGGGUGCCAAGCACUGGGGUAAGGAGGUGAAUUCUGAUCACCCUUGGGGGGUAGUCAGGGAAGGCAUCAGAUGGGAUGGGAGGAACACAAACUUGAAAAAUUGCCUUAAGACAUCUAAAUACAGGAGUUCCUGUCGUGGCUUAGUGGAAAUGAAUCUGACUAGUAUCCAUGAGGAUGCAGGUUUGAUCUCUGGCCUCGCUCAGUGGGUUAAGGAUCCAGCGUUGCUGUGACUGUGGCGUAGGUCUGAGGCUACAUCUCCGAUGCAACCCUAACCACUGGUGUGGCCCUCAAAAGACAAAAGACCAAAAAAUAAAAAUUAAAAAAAAGGCACCUAAAUACAGUGUUUAAGCCGUUUGCUCAACCAGCAAAGCUCUCAAGGAGGCUUAUUUUUUACAAAAAUUUGCUUGUCUUGGUCAGCCAUGCUUCGCUUUUGCACCUCUCUGCUUUAACCCAGGCCUUUGUGGGGAGGGAGCUUCGCACCUGGUGGCAGAUGCCCCGUCCCCAGUUGCAGGGCUGCACUUUGAGAGAUGUGAACUCCAUAGGCACUGAAUCUGCCAAAGUAAUGAUGGGGCUAUGUUUUUUGGUACCUAGCAGUCCCUCAGGCUACAUUGAAGGUGAGUGGGGGCAUCUUGGUGGUGGGUGGGUGAGACCAAUCCCUCAGAAGGGUCUGCCUUGUCCUCCAGUCACUCCAGAAAGACCACCUCCCUGGGGAGGGUAUCUUUUCAAAUACUCUGUAAGUUGCAGGGGGAGGAAGUUGAGAAGCCACCAGGGCUCUGCUGGCUUCCUCUUUGGAGCAUGGAAAGUGCUGGCUGAGGGAGCCCAGGAACCACUCUCGGAGGCCAACACUUUUGAUCUCUGUGCGUUUGCACCGUCUUGCAGGGGUCCUAAACAGGUUGUGCCCACGGCAGCUGCUGCCCCGCCUCACCUUCCACCCGGCCCUCCAGUGGCCCUCCAUGCGUCUAACAUGCCUGUUUUCACCCUGGGUGGUCCUGGCUACCCUGCCACUAGGUAGGAGAGCAGAGUUCUGCUUUGGGAAACAUACAAACUUUAUCCAUCAGUUCAGCAUAUAUGUGGAGACCAGCUGCUGGGUAAAGAUGCUUAAGUGGGGGCAAAGGGAGAGAGCCGAGCAAAGGCAGAGUGUGAUGGGUGGCUUUACAGGACCAAUCAGUUUGGCCCAGGGCGGGGGGCAGGGAGGGAGGGGACAGACACUAUGCUCCAUACUAUCUGGGGGCGUGCUCUGGCCAGGAGCAGGGAGAAUUCCAGAGCCCCAGAUGUGGGUGCUGGGAAGCAGGAAUCUUUGGAGCAGAUGCUGCUCUGAGAAUGGGGAGGCGGGAGGUGGUGAUGCUGGGCUCAGGGGUAGUGAAGGGGCUACCUCAGGCAGGGGGGCGGCUGCCUAUCCUCUCCAUGUCCCGCUGCCUUCUCUUUGUGCACAGUUUGGGGAGCUGGGGCAGGUGAUUCCCACCCAGGAGUGAGCUUCAAAUAAACCGAAUCAGGAUCGAUGUGCUGUUUAGGGGCACUGUAGUUGUACCAAAGUGGAACAUUGUCAUUAAGCUCGUCGUAAAGGACAUAAAAUGAAGGUAAACACAGUCUGUGCCGUCGUCUUGCCUUCUUUUUUAAUUAGGAAGUUUUCCUCCUCACUAGAGAAGACGGAGUUGCCUGGGUUCAUGUGUGAGGGGUCCUUUGCCCUUCCAGGAUCUUAUCCACCCUAGACCUGCCCCCACCCCCAUUUCACGCCCAGCUCCUGAGUGAUGUGGGAGGAAGGCUGAGGAUGAUGAGGAUGGUCCUACCAGCUGACACUUACCUGGCCCUGCUGGGGCCACAUCCUCUGUCCAUUUACUGUCCCUCUCCUUGGCAGCCGGAGCGCUAAUCCAGUGGCAGCUCCUGAGGAUUGUGUUUGUCCCUGGAGCCCCCUUCUCAGCUUGCCCCUUCACCCUUCACCCUCAAGUCUGAAGAGCCUCACGGUGACAACACUGGCUUAACUAACAUCCCUGACAGAUUUGAACACACUUACCUAUUUUCUCCCUGAAACAUUUUCUCUUUCACCACUUCCGCAAAUUCCUCUUAGGGAAAUAUUGCUCCAAGCCCUCCAUCCUCUCAUUUCUCUUCCCACCCCAACCCUUUGCAUACCAAGCUGUACUUAUCCUCUGCCUCCUGCAGGAAGCCUUCCCUGACUACCUGUUCCUCUGUCCUCCCCCAAGCCCUGAUAGUCUGUACCAGUUGGUUCCAAGGAUGCUUUUGGAGAUUGCGGUGACAAGGGGCACAGCCUCAAGCCCAGGGUCACAGCUUGCCAAGAACCUGGCCACUGUUUCCAGUGGACCCUUGAACUCCUGCCACCCUUGCUUACUCCACUGCCUCAGUGCCCCUGAGCUCAGGGCCUCCCAAGCCCGGCCAGAAAAGGCUACAACCUUCAGGCCAGUGCCUCGGCUGGCUGACCACUCAUUCCUUGUCUCAUCCUCAGGCCCAGGGACCUUCUGUCAGCAGCCAAGCCCAGAGCAGGCAGUCUAUUUACAGUCAGCCUGGAGCUGAGGACAUAGGGCGAGCAAGACAGACCAGGCCUCUGCGAUCAUGGAAGGGCAUGCUAUUCCCAGCUGGAUUAGCUUCCUAGGGCUGCUAUUAAAACAAAACAAAACAAAAACCACCACACACACGGAGGGCUCAAAACAAUGGAAAUUUAUUCUCUCACUGUUCUGGAGGCCAGAAGUCUAAAACCAAGGUGUCAGCAGGGAGCUUCCUCCUAGAGGUUCUGAGGGAGCAGCUCCUGGGGAUUGCUCCUUAGUUGUUGCUGCAGAAGUGUGGUGCCUGCAUCUGUGCUCAUACAACCUUCUCCCCUACGGAUCUCUGUGUGUCAGACCUCAUUCUCUCUUUUCUCUCAUAAGAACACCAGUCAUUGGAUUUAAGGCCCAUCCUAAAUCCAGGAUGAUCUCAGCUCAAGAUCCUAAUUACAUCUGCAGAUAAGGUCACGUUCACAGGUACUACAGGAUGAGACUUGGGCCUAUAUUUAGGGGGAUCCAACUCAGCCCAUUAUGCUGGCCGUUGCUCCUCCCUACUGGAGCUGUGGUUGGGGUCCUGGCUUCCUCACCCAGGAGCCCCAGCCAUGUGCUCAUCACAGCUGUUCGCAGUAACAUAAGCCAGGCACGGAGAGGACUCACUAUGGUCUUACUGUCUCUUGGCCAUUGUCUAACCUUCAAGGACCCACCAGUUUCCCUUCACCGCAGGAGGAGUUUUGGAGAGAGCCAUGGGCCUCUGCCACACAGUGCUGCUUAGAGCUGACUCUUGAGCUGGAGACUCUGAGGAGCGACCAUGUUGAUCCCAGCCCUCCCCUGCUUGUGAGGUCUGGCCAGACAUGGACUGACCCUCCCUGGUGCCAGGGGCUUUGCUGUCUGCAUUUCCUCCCAGCUGCCCUGUAGACUGUUGGAGGCAGAUGGAGCCCUGACACCACCCCACCAUUCCUGGGCAGCCCUUUCUUGAGCCAGCAUCUUGCUGUUGGCUCCCCUUCUGAAGUCCCUUCUACCCAUCUGCUCACUUCUCCACUUCUGCCUCCUGGUUUAGCUGAGCCGCAUUUUCUCCCGUCUCCUUCCUCAUGCCUCUGAUCAUGGUCCCAUCAGAUCAGAGAAGACUCUUCCCUGAGCCCAGGGCCCUUCGGAGUGCCCCUGUGGUGACACGUUUCCAUUAUGUGUCAGGUCCCCAGACUCCCAGCUGACAAACAUAUUCAUUAUGCAUUAUACAUUGGUCCUCUGCCAAUUCAUUAGUGGUGAAUGAGGCUUAUGUGUUUCUCCUGUUUCCUUUCAGAUCCUCUAGGAAGAACUCAAAUUCCCACCCAAAUCUGGUAGGAACCAGUUAGCCCAAGAGGACAGUCAUCUUCCUUAGAUACACUUUGCUAAGACUCCCUGUGGAUAGAAACCUUAUGUAAUUGUGUUUUCAUUCACGAACAUUCCCAGGGUCCCUGGUGUUCUGAAGGUCACAAAGGCUUCCAUGAAGUUUGUAGGUUUGCUGAUGGCUGGAAAGAUGUGCUAUUGUAUGCUAAAGUAAUGAAUUUUUUGAUCAGAAAUUACAAGAAAAAGUGUAGAUAUCACUGAACACAUUUUGUCAGCCCUUUUGUCCAUGCCAGAGCCUUUGCCCAUCUAGAUGAAAGGUGAGCAAACAGUAGCCUGCAGCCUGCUUUUAGGUUGCAAUGGCAGAGGUGAAUAGCUGCAACAGAAACCUUAGAGCCCACAGUGCCUAAAGUAGUUACUAUCUGCACCUUUACAGAAAGUUUGCUGGCUGCCCGUAGAGGCUGCUGCAGCACAUCCUAGCAGCUCAGUUUCUGAGGGCCAGUGUAAACUAAGGCCACCUGGGAGGGUAGACUCCUGGCCUGGGCUGUGCUGGAGCACUUGCCCUAGAGCUGUGUUUCUUUCUAGCCAAGAUGUUGUGUCACCUGUAUCGGUCUAGGGGAAUGCAGGCUGAAACCCAUUCAAUUAUGGUAUUAUGUUCGGUUUGUGUAACAAGAUCUCAAGCUGGGGCUCAGAAAGUUUGAUGAGGGCUAAUGCUUAUUGAGUAAUAGUCUUCUGAAAUGUGAUGAUGUCUGUGAAAACAUUUAUAAGGUCUAGACAGGACAAUUUAUAAAAAGCAUAUGUUGGCUCUGCUCAAAAUGAAAUAGUUAAGUCUAAAUCUGACAAAAUAUGUACAAGAGCUAUAGAAGGAAAAUUAUAAAACUGAGGAAUGAAAUCAAAAAAACAAAUAAAUGGAGAGAUGUUCCAUAUUCAUGGAUAGGAAGAUUUAAUAGUGCCCAGAUGUCAAUUUUUCCCAACUUGAUCAUAGAUUCAAUGCAAUCCCAAUCAAAAUCCAAGCAAGUAUUUUGUGACUAUUGACAAAGUGAUUCUCAAGUGUCUACGAGAGGCAAAAUACCCAGAAGCGCCAGGACAAUGUUGAAGGAGAAGAACCAAGUUGGAGGAUUGACACCACCCCAGCUUCAAGACUUACUAUAAAGCUACAGUAAUCAAGAUAGUGUGACGUUGACUUACAGAAUAGAGAAAUAGAUCAGUGGAACGGAAUAGAGAGCCUGGAAUAGACCUAUAGGAAGAUAGUCAACUGACCUUUGAUAAAGGAACAAAGGUAACACAAUGGAACAACAACAACAACAAAAUCUCUUCAACGAAGAGUUCUGGAACAACUGGACAUCUACAUGUCAAAAAAAAAAAAAAAA
RNAcentral lists this long non-coding RNA (6318 nucleotides) under Sus scrofa (pig). RNAcentral's name for it is "lncRNA (ENSSSCG00015025713.1)". The record is from RNAcentral. Lineage: Eukaryota; Metazoa; Chordata; Mammalia; Artiodactyla; Suidae.